RNAcentral lists this transfer RNA (52 nucleotides) under Trimeresurus sp. Lee2017. Its description in RNAcentral is "partial tRNA-Ser". The record is from RNAcentral. Lineage: Eukaryota; Metazoa; Chordata; Lepidosauria; Squamata; Viperidae.
GAGAGGUUUAGAAGACCUGCUAACUCUUCAAUCUGGCAAAUAUACCAGCCCU